RNAcentral lists this microRNA (22 nucleotides) under Danio rerio (zebrafish). RNAcentral's name for it is "Dre-Mir-2184-P1b_3p* (star (passenger))". Lineage: Eukaryota; Metazoa; Chordata; Actinopteri; Cypriniformes; Danionidae. The record is from RNAcentral.
AGCACAUGGUCUCUUACUUGUA